Molecule: ribosomal RNA, 689 nt
Filed under: Coccocrater sp. MNHN IM 2013-42713
Lineage: Eukaryota; Metazoa; Mollusca; Gastropoda; Cocculinidae
Description: partial large subunit ribosomal RNA
Rfam family: Eukaryotic large subunit ribosomal RNA
Source: RNAcentral
AUAAGCGGAGGAAAAGAAAUUAACUAAGAUUCCUUCAGUAACGGCGAGUGAAGCAGGACGAGCCCAGCACUGAAUCCGAGCGACCGAAAGGCGCGAGGAGUUGUAGUGUACGGGGUCCCCAUUCCUUCGUCCAACGUUCGCGUGCCAAAGUCGCAUGGAAGGUGCUGUCGCUCCACAGCGGGUGUCAGACCCUUGUGGCUGCGCGUUCGGACGCAGGUCUGGCGGGACCUCGAGAGUCGGGUUGUUUGAGAUUGCAACCCAAAGGUCGGUGGUAAGCGCCAUCGAAGGCUAAAUACGUCCACGAGACCGAAAGCGCACAAGUACCGUAAGGGAACGUUGAAAAGGACUUGUGAUUGAUAGUUCAAAGUACGUGAACCUGCCUAGAGCGAAACGAGUGGCACCGCAAUAGCGGCUAGCGGCGUUCAGCCCGUGUCGUCUUUCGGGUGCAUUCGCCGCCACGCCGUGCGUCACGAUCGCUUUCGCGCGAGUUGUGGUCGAGGCGAUCGGGCGGUCGGUAAUUCUUCCGACCGGCAGUCGCUUCGACUCGCGAGCUUGCGAGGGAGCGGUGAAGGAUCCCCGCGCGCAUAUUGGGCCUCGUGUCCGCACGCGGCCGUGUCGUCCUCGCGACGAGACGACUGCUGCGGGCGGCUCGAGCGCGGGCGUCGAUCUGUGGCGUUCGAGUCGGACAG